RNAcentral lists this long non-coding RNA (1027 nucleotides) under Marmota monax (woodchuck). The record is from RNAcentral. Lineage: Eukaryota; Metazoa; Chordata; Mammalia; Rodentia; Sciuridae.
GUGCCUUCCUCCAUCCCAAUAACUCUUACAUUUGGUCUUUUGAUGUUGUCCCAUAAUUCUUGGGUGUUCUGUUCAUGGUUUCUUACUAUCUUCACUGUGUGAUCAACUUUAUUUUCCAGAUUGUAUACUUUGUCUUCAUUAUCUGACGUUCUUUCUUCCAAGUGAUUUAGUCUGUUGGUUAUGCUUUUAUCGAGUUUUUUAUUUGAUUUAUUGUAUCCUUCAUUUCAAGAAUUUCUGUUUUUUUUUUUUUCAGAGACUCUCUCUCAAUCAGGAAUCUUUUGCUACCUGUAUUUGCUAUCUUAUCUCUUUGUUGGAGCGAUCAAUUUUUGCCUGUAUUUGCUCAUUUGGUCAUUCUUUAAUUUACAGAUGAUUUUAAUUAUAAACCUUCUGAACUCCUUCUCUGACAUUUCAUCAACUUUGCUGGCCAUGGGUUCUGUUAUUGUAGUAUACUGGUUUGUUUGGGGCAUUUUCCUCCCUUGUUUUUUUAUACUGUCUAUGUGUCUUCCUUUCUUGCAGUGUGGAUCCUGGACCUGGGCCUCUAGCAAGUUGUUGAGAGCAGAUCUGGGCCAGGCCUGCCCUCCCACUGUAGUCUGCUGGUGGGAAGGGCAGGUCCCAUGCCAGAGGCUGGGCUCCUGCAGGUGUCCACUAGUGGCAGGAUGGACCUGAGCCAACUGUGAGCCUGGGUCCCUGGCAGGGCAAUGUGGGUAGAGUGUAAUUUAUUUUAUAAAAGUCCCAUGUAAUGAAGUUUUACAAAUUGAAAUAUAAUUCAUGCUGAAAUCAAUUGCAUUAUAUACUUGGGGGAAUAGAGAAGCGUAAGGUAUUAUUUUAUGUAGUAGAGAUUAUAUCUGCUAUAAUAUUCCAGUGUUGUUAGUAUAUUCAGGAACAGUCCCUCUUAAGAUUGUAUGUUCAGAGACAGUCCCUCUAUGUAAACCUCUCUGUUCAUAUAUCCUCUAUGCCUUGAACCAUUAGUAUUUUUGAAUUUCAUACUAUUUCCAAUUGAUAUCUGUUCCAUCUUUUCCUUCAUUCU